AUGUGUGUAGCACAUAUACUAAAUUGGAACGAUACAGAGAAUGGCCCCUGCGUAAGAAUGACAUGCAAAUUCUGGAAGCAUUCCAUAUUUUU
Molecule: small nuclear RNA, 92 nt
Filed under: Sciurus vulgaris (Eurasian red squirrel)
Lineage: Eukaryota; Metazoa; Chordata; Mammalia; Rodentia; Sciuridae
Source: RNAcentral